This is an RNA transcript of Sander lucioperca (pikeperch), 2525 nucleotides long. It is a transcript of the gene named activated leukocyte cell adhesion molecule a, with no coding region annotated. Lineage: Eukaryota; Metazoa; Chordata; Actinopteri; Perciformes; Percidae. The transcript has 16 exons. The record is from RefSeq and is a predicted model, not a curated record.
CGCCUCCUCCUCCUCCUCCUGUCCUCGCAGUCAGCUCGCUGUUUUUCACCUGCGCUCCCUCACCGAAACUGCUUGGUAUGUUUCGGACUUUCCACGGCUCAUCCAAACAAGAGUGACAUAUCUGCGGGCCAUAUUUGUACAGCUGAGACCGACUUCAACUCCUCAUUUCUUAAAGCUCACCAGAGGUAUCCACAGACCCGUACAGUUUCUGUUUAAGGAUGGACUCCGCUGCUUUCCUAUUGCUGGCUUUCGUGAACGCCGUGACGCUUCUCCAAGUGUGGGGAACAGACAAUGUGACUGCCCUGUAUGGAGAGGUCAUUGUGAUACCAUGCAAUGGUGGAGCUCCAGCACCAGCAGAUCUGAUGUUCGUCAAGUGGAAAUACGAGAAAGAUGAUGGCACUCGUGGCGAUCUGUUGAUCAAACAGGUCAGCAGCGUGCAGGCCACAGUUCAGGCUACAGACCAAUAUGCCCAGCGGGUCAGCAUCGAUGCCAACUUCAGCCUGCUCAUCUCCCAGGCCACGCUCAAAGACCAGAAGACCUUCACCUGCAUGGUUGUGUCAGGCUCCAACCUCAUUGAGUACCCCGUCUCUGUCCUCGUUUACAAGAUACCGUCUUCAGUUCAGAUUAUGGACAAGUCUAAAGUACUGCAGAAGGACAAACCAACAAUGGUGGGAACAUGUGUUGCGGCAAAUGCAAACCCUGCAACUACAUUCACCUGGAAAAAGAAUGGAAAGCCCUUGUUAGCCGAUGGGAAAGCUGUUGUGAUCAGUUCUAGCAUUAAGCUGGAUCCAGCCACAGGCCUGUCCACCACCUCCUCCACCCUCCAGUAUGCAGCUUCCAAAGAGGACUUUGCUGCAGUCUUUGUCUGCGUGUCCACACAUAAGCUGACCAAUCAGGAGGAAGAACUGGGACCCUUUCCCAUUUACUAUCCAUCGGAGAAGGUUAGCCUCGAAAUUAUGUCCAAGGGACCGAUCGUAGAAGGAGAUAACGUGACGUUGAAGUGUCACGCUGAUGGCAACCCUCCACCCAGCUCCUUCUUCUUCCACAUCAAGGGCCAGAAAAUGCCGGUGGUAAAUUCAGACAACUACACUUUGACUAACAUCAGCAGAGAGGCUGGGGGUGAAUACAAAUGCUCCCUGGCUGACAAUGAGAAAAUGGAGGCCUCCCAAAGCAUUGCUGUUAGCUACUUGGACCUGAGUCUGACUUCCUCUGGGAAGGUUGUGAAGGCAUUAGGGGACACCUUCCAUGUGACGAUCGAGAAGAACGCUUCUGGUGACCCUGAAGUUUCAUGGACAAAGAAUGGAAAGGCAAUGGAGGGAGUGAAGAAGCUGCAGUUUAGCAAGUUAACCUAUGCUGAUGCAGGAGUGUAUGUGUGUGAGGUUUCCAUGACCAGCCUUACGCGACGUCAGAGCUUUGAACUGGUCGUUGAAGGAAAGCCUAUGAUCACCAGCCUUACCAAGGACCGUGCGGAUGAUGCCGAUUCCAAAGUUCUGACCUGCGAGGCUGAGGGUGUACCAGAACCCAACUUCCAAUGGAGCGUCAAUAGCACAGGCGUAAAGGUGAAGAGCUCCCACACCAACAGCAAGGUCACCCAUAAAAUCACUGUGACCCCCUCGGUGAAUCUGACUGUCACCUGCAGGGUCAGCAACAAGCUGGGAGAAGAUACCAUGACCAUCAAUGUUUCCUCUGUUUUUAAGGAGAAAACAGAUAAAAGAGGUAAGAGACUCUCAGGAGGAUUCAGAGGACCAGGCCAAGCUCAUAGUGGGAGUCGUGGUAGGGCUCCUCGUAGCUGCUGCCAUAGUGGGACUCAUCUACUGGCUCUACAUGAAGAAUUCAAGACAAGGAAGCUGGAAAACAGGGGAGAAGGAGUUGGGAACAUCUGAGGAGAGCACGAAACUAGAGGACAACAAUCACGCUGUUUAAAGGCACUCCUGCUGUACUACAUGGGAUGAAUAUGAAGCAGCCAUGCAACAUUAAAACUACAGACUCCCAGUUGGCUGCUGACACCCUCCAUCAGGCUCCACACAAGCAGCAACAGAGUCCUGCCCACUGCCUGCUGUCCCACCUCACUGUCUGAAGUCUGCACUGAGGCUGCCUCGUGUUACUGUUUCAUUUUGUGUUUUUGUGUUCCUGGUGAAUGCUCCGUUAUGUUUUGUGUGAGCAAUUCUGCUCAGGGUGUGUGGUGGGUUUUUUGCCGCUUAGUUCUUUCUUUAGGAUUAAUUUUUUGUGUGUUCUCGAUUUUCUUCAAAGAAUGUAAAAAUCCCUUGUACACUUUUAAGGCCUGUAUAACAAAUUAUAAGUAUGUUUGUGCCCUCACUGAGCAUGCCAAUGUUUAUUUUUAUUGUUAGUUUUUUUUUGUGCGCUGUGUGUUGAAAAGCCUUUGUUAGGCUGUCCUCAGAGAAAAAUACACUUUACUGUAUAACCCUACUGAAACUCCGCAACAUCUCUUAACCUCCUGACUUAUGUUUUCUGGUUUUCAAACACUGGCAAAUGGAUUGUCUGUAUAGGUAAUGGAUGCCCACUAC